This 84-nucleotide transfer RNA is filed under the name Gemmatimonadota bacterium. RNAcentral describes it as "tRNA-Ser". It matches the Rfam family "tRNA". Rfam says of the family: Transfer RNA (tRNA) molecules are approximately 80 nucleotides in length. Lineage: Bacteria; Pseudomonadati; Gemmatimonadota. The record is from RNAcentral.
GGAUGGGUGGCCGAGCGGCUUAAGGCGCACGAUUGGAAAUCGUGUGGGUUAAUACCCGCGUGGGUUCGAAUCCCACCCCAUCCG